Deltaproteobacteria bacterium is the source of this 74-nucleotide non-coding RNA. The record is from Rfam. NCBI's taxonomy places the organism in Bacteria, Pseudomonadati, Myxococcota, Myxococcia.
GAAAGCCGUGUGCGGGAAAACCGCACGCACGGUUUGAUGAGGGAGGGCAGGGUAAAACCUGCUCUCUACUCUAC